CCUACGGGGGGCAGCAGUGAGGAAUAUUGGUCAAUGGACGAGAGUCUGAACCAGCCAAGUAGCGUGAAGGAUGACUGCCCUAUUGGUUGUAAACUUCUUUUAUAUGGGAAUAAAAUGUUCCACGUGUGGGAUUUUGUAUGUACCAUAUGAAUAAGGAUCGGCUAACUCCGUGCCAGCAGCCGCGGUAAUACGGAGGAUCCGAGCGUUAUCCGGAUUUAUUGGGUUUAAAGGGAGCGUAGGUGGAUUGUUAAGUCAGUUGUGAAAGUUUGCGGCUCAACCGUAAAAUUGCAGUUGAAACUAGCAGUCUUGAGUACAGUAGAGGUGGGCGGAAUUCGUGGUGUAGCGGUGAAAUGCUUAGAUAUCACGAAGAACUCCGAUUGCGAAGGCAGCUCACUGGACUGCAACUGACACUGAGGCUCGAAAGUGUGGGUAGCAAACAGGAUUAGAUACCCGAGUAGUC
Molecule: ribosomal RNA, 460 nt
Filed under: uncultured bacterium
Lineage: Bacteria
Description: partial 16S ribosomal RNA
Rfam family: Bacterial small subunit ribosomal RNA
Source: RNAcentral